This 320-nucleotide ribosomal RNA is filed under the name uncultured eukaryote. RNAcentral's name for it is "partial 18S ribosomal RNA". It matches the Rfam family "Eukaryotic small subunit ribosomal RNA", at positions 1470 to 1796 of the family's 1831-position model. The record is from RNAcentral.
CCCUUAGAUGUUCUGGGCCGCACGCGCGCUACACUGAUGCAUUCAACGAGUUUUUCCUGGUCCGAGAGGAAUGGGUAACCUUUUGAAAGUGCAUCGUGCUAGGGAUAGACUAUUGCAAUUAUUGGUCUUCAACGAGGAAUUCCUAGUAGACGUAGUUCAUCAGACUGCAUCGAUUACGUCCCUGCCCUUUGUACACACCGCCCGUCGCUCCUACCGAUUGAAUGGUCCGGUGAAAUCUCGGGACGGCGGCUUGGUCGCUUGCGUCCGACUGCUGAAACUUGAUUAAACCAUAUCAUUUAGAGGAAGGUGAAGUCGUAACA